UAGGGCUUUUGGGCCAUGAGUCCGGACAGAUCAAAUCCUCGCUUGGGCCGCUCUCCAUCUUUGCCACCGCUCAAAAUCUCCCUCUCUUCUUAGAGAGUACUCCUUUAAUUUCAAAAUGUCACGCGUAUAACAUCUGUUUAUUAAACAUCAUAAAGUUUGACCAGCUUUAUAAAAAAAAAAUCAACAUCUUCGGUUCGAAAUCAAAAGAGCAUUACAAUAUUCAAUAUUGUGAGAUAUAUUUUGUGAUGUCUCAAUUUGACAAUACAUAUAUAUGUCGGUUUCUUUUGCUAAAAACUUGGCUAAACUUUCCGUCAACACAAAUUAUGCGCGUUUUAUUUUGGAUCGGAGGGCGCAAGUGUCAUCUCGCUCAAAAAAGAAAAAGGAAAAGAUAUAGUGGUACUAUAUGCAUGAAAAAAACACACAAUAUAUUCAACCAUGCACUGAUCAAUCAUUCAAUCUACCUGUCGCGAUCGACCCCUAGCUAGCUAGCUACACUAAUUACUACUAAUAUACAGUGGUAUGUAAGGUGAUUCAGUAAGUUAGUCAAUAAAUUGGAGGCAGGUGGCUAGCUAGCUAUAGAUGGAUGAUAUGAUCGAUCUCUAUGGC
RNAcentral lists this long non-coding RNA (606 nucleotides) under Brachypodium distachyon (stiff brome). Its description in RNAcentral is "long non-coding RNA (BDIS_LNC000973)". Lineage: Eukaryota; Viridiplantae; Streptophyta; Magnoliopsida; Poales; Poaceae. The record is from RNAcentral.